RNAcentral lists this long non-coding RNA (545 nucleotides) under Coffea arabica (coffee). RNAcentral describes it as "long non-coding RNA (CARA_LNC000720)". The record is from RNAcentral. Lineage: Eukaryota; Viridiplantae; Streptophyta; Magnoliopsida; Gentianales; Rubiaceae.
AUUCUUUCAUUCAUUUACAAAUAGUGAUUGAGAUUAAUCUCAAUUUCGAACUUUCAUAACAAGAGAUGAAUGAAAGAAGUAAAUCAUAGAGAGGUUGUUAAACUGGAAAAGCCAAUCGCUAGAGCCAAGUAGAAAUUUAUACAUAUUAAGAAAGCGAAUUAACUAAUGAAGGAGUUGAACGAACUGCACUCGGACUCGGGGAAAUAGGAAUGAGUUAGACAUGAUUUAGGCUUCAUCUAAUCCAACAUGCAUGAAGAAUGUAGGAUAAACUGCAAUCAGCAAGAAAAAUGGAGUUCAACAUGCGUGAAGAAUGUAGGAAAAAACUGCAAUCAGCAAGAAAAUGGAGGCCAUUAGAUAAAAGAAACUAACCCUCGGGAGAGAUGAUUUAAUAAUCCAAACCGGCGAUGAGAAACUUCAAAUGGAUGGCAUGGUGCCCAUUAAAUUUUAAAAGAUUAAAGGAAUUAAGAAGCGAAAAAGUCAAGAAUGAGAUUUGGAUGGGGUGGGGAGAUUCUUGGCGUAACAAAUAAAUAAGGGAUGGCUUGGUG